UGGGGAAUUUUGGACAAUGGGCGAAAGCCUGAUCCAGCAAUGCCGCGUGUGUGAAGAAGGCCUUCGGGUUGUAAAGCACUUUUGUCCGGAAAGAAAUCCUUGGCUCUAAUACAGUCGGGGGAUGACGGUACCGGAAGAAUAAGCACCGGCUAACUACGUGCCAGCAGCCGCGGUAAUACGUAGGGUGCAAGCGUUAAUCGGAAUUACUGGGCGUAAAGCGUGCGCAGGCGGUUUGCUAAGACCGAUGUGAAAUCCCCGGGCUCAACCUGGGAAGCUGCAUUGGUGACUGGCAGGCUAGAGUAUGGCAGAGGGGGGUAGAAUUCCACGUGUAGCAGUGAAAUGCGUAGAGAUGUGGAGGAAUACCGAUGGCGAAGGCAGCCCCCUGGGCCAAUACUGACGCUCAUGCACGAAAGCGUGGGGAGCAAACGGAUU
RNAcentral lists this ribosomal RNA (432 nucleotides) under uncultured bacterium. Its description in RNAcentral is "partial 16S ribosomal RNA". It matches the Rfam family "Bacterial small subunit ribosomal RNA", at positions 355 to 778 of the family's 1533-position model. The record is from RNAcentral.